This 492-nucleotide ribosomal RNA is filed under the name uncultured bacterium. RNAcentral's name for it is "partial 16S ribosomal RNA". It matches the Rfam family "Bacterial small subunit ribosomal RNA", at positions 29 to 507 of the family's 1533-position model. The record is from RNAcentral.
AGUGAACGCUGGCGGUAGGCCUAACACAUGCAAGUCGAACGGCAGCACAGUAAGAGCUUGCUCUUACGGGUGGCGAGUGGCGGACGGGUGAGGAAUACAUCGGACUCUACUUUUUCGUGGGGGAUAACGUAGGGAAACUUACGCUAAUACCGCAUACGACCUACGGGUGAAAGCAGGGGAUCUUCGGACCUUGCGCGAUUGAAUGAGCCGAUGUCGGAUUAGCUAGUUGGCGGGGUAAAGGCCCACCAAGGCGACGAUCCGUAGCUGGUGUGAGAGGAUGAUCGGCCACACUGGAGCUGGGACACGGUCCAGACUCCUACGGGAGGCAGCAGUGGGGAAUAUUGGACAAUGGGCGGAAGCCUGAUCCAGCCAUACCGCGUGGGUGAAGAAGGCCUUCGGGUUGUAAAGCCCUUUUGUUGGGAAAGAAAAGCAGCAGGUUAAUACCCCGCUGUUCUGACGGUACCCAAAGAAUAAGCACCGGCUAACUUCGUG